Molecule: ribosomal RNA, 253 nt
Filed under: uncultured bacterium
Lineage: Bacteria
Description: partial 16S ribosomal RNA
Rfam family: Bacterial small subunit ribosomal RNA
Source: RNAcentral
UACGUAGGGACCGAGCGUUGUCCGGAUUCAUUGGGCGUAAAGAGCUCGUAGGCGGCCACUCAAGUCGAAUGUGAAACCUCGAGGCUUAACCUCGAGCCUGCAUUCGAUACUGGGCGGCUAGAGUCUGGUAGGGGGAUCUGGAAUUCCUGGUGUAGCGGUGGAAUGCGCAGAUAUCAGGAGGAACACCAGUGGCGAAGGCGGCUGCCUGGGCCUGGCCUGACGCUGAGGCGCGAAAGCGUGGGGAGCGAUCCGG